This 426-nucleotide unclassified non-coding RNA is filed under the name fungal sp. RNAcentral describes it as "partial internal transcribed spacer region". The stretch from base 1 to 46 matches the Rfam family "Eukaryotic small subunit ribosomal RNA", at positions 1786 to 1831 of the family's 1831-position model. The record is from RNAcentral. Lineage: Eukaryota; Fungi.
AAGUCGUAACAAGGUUUCCGUAGGUGAACCUGCGGAAGGAUCAUUAACACGUUAUCCAACGUAACUACCUACGUGCACUGUUUUCCCCUCUCUCCCGCUUUCCUCCAUGUAUCGGCUACGUGUAUGUGAGACGUUUGGCUGGGCUUCAUCCUCGCGCUGUUGCUAUGCUCACACACCGACCUGCGCGCCUUUUUGGGCGAGCUCACGAUAGUAGGAGGCCGCGGCUUUCUCCGCUGCGCAAUGCUGUAAAUCUCCAACCAAGAUUAUGGGCGUGCGCGGCACCUUUACCAUACCACAAUUCUAACCCCCUUUUUGCUAGUUGACUUUUUAAUCUGUUGUGGCUCUUUCUUGAUUGAAAGGCUCGGCACGUUUGAUCUAUUUGAACGUUAAAAAAUACAACUCUUAGCAAUGGAUAUCUUGGUUCUC